CGGGGGCUCACACAAGCGGUGGAGCAUGUGGAUUAAUUCGAAGCAACGCGCAGAACCUUACCUAGGUUUGACAUGCUUGGAUGCCUUAUUGGAAACAGUGUAGGCUGCCCGCAAGGGUGAAACUUGCACAGGUGCUGCAUGGCUGUCGUCAGCUCGUGUCGUGAGAUGUCGGGUUAAGUCCUUUAACGAGCGAAACCCUUGCCGUUAGUUACCAGCGGGUCAUGCCGGGAACUCUAGCGGGACUGCCGGUGUUAAACCGGAGGAAGGUGGGACGACGUCAAGUCAUCAUGGCCUUUAUGCCUAGGGCCUCACACGUGCUACAAUGGCAGCGACAAAGCGACGCAAUACCGCAAGGUGGAGCAAAUCGCAAAAACGCUGCCCCAGUUCGGAUUGUAGGCUGGCAACUCGCCUACAUGAAGUCGGAAUCGCUAGUAAUCGCGGAUCAGCACGCCGCGGUGAAUACGUUCCCGGGCCUU
Molecule: ribosomal RNA, 476 nt
Filed under: uncultured Phycisphaerae bacterium
Lineage: Bacteria; Pseudomonadati; Planctomycetota; Phycisphaerae
Description: bacterial SSU rRNA
Rfam family: Bacterial small subunit ribosomal RNA
Source: RNAcentral